RNAcentral lists this ribosomal RNA (251 nucleotides) under uncultured bacterium. RNAcentral's name for it is "partial 16S ribosomal RNA". It matches the Rfam family "Bacterial small subunit ribosomal RNA", at positions 524 to 774 of the family's 1533-position model. The record is from RNAcentral.
UACGUAGGGGGCAAGCGUUAUCCGGAUUUACUGGGUGUAAAGGGAGCGUAGACGGCUGUGCAAGUCUGAAGUGAAAGCCCAGGGCUCAACCCUGGGACUGCUUUGGAAACUGUGGAGCUAGGGUGCUGGAGAGGUAAGUGGAAUUCCUAGUGUAGCGGUGAAAUGCGUAGAUAUUAGGAGGAACACCAGUGGCGAAGGCGGCUUACUGGACAGUAACUGACGUUGAGGCUCGAAAGCGUGGGGAGCAAACA